GCCCAGUUCUACAAAGUUACCACAGAGCAAUACCAGAAAGCUGCUGAUGAAGUGUCAUCUCGGUACAAGAGAUACCAAACUCAUCCAGUCUGCGCUGAUCUGCAGGAUAAGAUUCUACAGUGUUAUCGACAACAUGCUCAGGAGACCCUGAGCUGCUCUGCCCUGGCUAACCAGUACCUGCACUGUGUCAAUCAUGCCAAACAGCAGAGCAUACUUGGGAGAGGAGGAUAAAGGCAUUGUCCAAAUCAAGCACAAGACCAUCAACUAAUUUCAGCAGAAGAGCGUUUUUUACCCCGAGAAUGAUAUGACAGCCCAUUUACAGGGCAGGCCAAUAAAGAGAAGAACUGGAAGAGCCGUUUCAAGAGCAGCAGCCAUCACGACUCAAUCAGUGUGACCAUUUGAAAAGCCAAGACCUGUAUCUUAUUACAUCAGAAAUCACAGAGCUGAAGAUACUGUUCAGUCUUAGUGAAAUCCACUUAGUGGUGAUUGAAGGAAGAAAAAGAAAAGAACCUUUCACUGACCUGAGAAAGGGGAAAUAUCCUUCAAAUGCUGCUAUUUCACUGUAGAAUCUCCUCUAAAACUCCCUGUCAAAGGCACGGGUAUGUAACACUUGGUGUGCCGGGAUGUGGUGGCACUUUGUGAGGAGGUCAGCCCCUGGUCCUCACUGUACACACAGCCUGUUUUCCUUACCAUGUAUCAUGACUUAAAUUGUGCUUAAACUUAUUUCACAAGUCAUGUCACUAAAUGAAGUCUCUCUCCAGGUCUUCUGCUGGAAUGAUG
Long non-coding RNA from Nestor notabilis (Kea), 780 nucleotides. RefSeq lists it as uncharacterized. The record is from RefSeq and is a predicted model, not a curated record. Lineage: Eukaryota; Metazoa; Chordata; Aves; Psittaciformes; Psittacidae. The transcript has 3 exons.